RNA transcript from Glycine soja, 4289 nucleotides. It is a transcript of the gene named putative disease resistance RPP13-like protein 1, with no coding region annotated. The record is from RefSeq and is a predicted model, not a curated record. Lineage: Eukaryota; Viridiplantae; Streptophyta; Magnoliopsida; Fabales; Fabaceae. The transcript is spliced from 2 exons.
UUAAUUCAUGGAAUACAGCUGUUAAAGUUUGUGUUGUUGGGAAGACUCAACAGUUAUUGGUUGACUCAAUCUUAAUUAAAGCCAUCCUUCAUAAAACUGCCUAUCACUGAUUUGAUCAGUACAUGAACCCUGCACUGCACUUCAAAUUACUCAUUUUCAUUCAUCCACUCAACUCCCUUUCCUACCAUGGCACUAGAAUUGGUCGGUGGUGCUCUUCUUUCUGCUUUCCUUCAGGUUGCGUUUGAGAAGCUUGCUUCUCCUCAAGUUCGGGACUUCUUUCGUGGAAGAAAGCUUGAUCAAAAGCUGCUCAACAACUUGGAAAUCAAGCUGAACUCCAUACAGGCUCUGGCUGAGGAUGCAGAACUAAAGCAGUUCAGAGAUCCACGUGUCAGGGACUGGCUUCUUAAGGUCAAAGAUGCUCUGUUUGACGCAGAGGAUCUCUUGGAUGAAAUACAACAUGAGAUCUCCACAUGCCAAGUCGAAGCUGAAUCUCAAACCUGCUCUGGCUGCACUUGCAAGGUACCAAAUUUCUUCAAAUCUUCUCCUGUUAGUUCCAAGGAAAUUAAAUCAAGGAUGAAACAGGUCCUUGGGGACCUUGAAAAUCUUGCUAGCCAAAGUGGCUAUCUAGAUUUGAAAAAUGCAAGUGGUGUUGGAUCAGGAUUUGGUGGUGCAGUAUCACUGCAUUCAGAAUCAACAUCUUUGGUUGUUGAAAGUGUUAUUUAUGGCAGAGAUGAUGACAAAGAAAUGAUCUUUAAUUGGCUCACAUCUGACAUUGACAAUUGUAACAAACUAUCAAUACUUUCUAUUGUGGGCAUGGGUGGGUUGGGUAAGACCACACUUGCCCAACAUGUAUUCAAUGACCCAAGGAUAGAAAAUAAAUUUGAUAUCAAAGCUUGGGUCUGUGUUUCAGAUGAAUUUGAUGUUUUCAAUGUAACAAGAACAAUUCUUGAGGCAGUCACUAAAUCAACUGAUGAUAGUAGAAACCGAGAAAUGGUUCAGGGAAGGUUGAGAGAAAAAUUGACAGGAAAGAGAUUUUUUCUUGUUUUGGAUGAUGUUUGGAACAGAAAUCAAAAGGAAUGGAAAGAUUUGCAAACUCCUCUUAAUGAUGGGGCUUCAGGGAGUAAAAUUGUUAUCACUACACGUGACAAGAAAGUUGCUUCAGUAGUGGGAUCAAAUAAAACACAUUGCUUAGAGCUGUUGCAAGAUGAUCAUUGCUGGCGAUUGUUCACUAAACAUGCAUUCCGAGAUGAUAGUCAUCAACCAAAUCCAGACUUCAAGGAGAUUGGUACGAAGAUAGUAGAAAAAUGUAAAGGACUGCCUCUGGCCUUGACAACAAUUGGAAGUCUAUUACACCAAAAAUCAUCUAUUUCAGAAUGGGAAGGCAUAUUGAAAAGCGAGAUAUGGGAAUUUUCAGAAGAGGAUAGCUCUAUUGUCCCUGCUUUAGCACUAAGCUAUCACCACCUCCCUUCCCGUAUCAAGAGAUGUUUUGCUUAUUGCGCCUUAUUCCCCAAAGAUUACAGGUUUGACAAGGAGGGUUUAAUUCAGCUGUGGAUGGCGGAAAACUUUUUACAAUGUCCUCAACAGAGUAGGAGUCCAGAAGAAGUCGGUGAACAAUACUUCAACGAUCUUUUGUCAAGGUCCUUCUUUCAACAAUCAAGCACCAUAGAGAGAACACCUUUUGUCAUGCAUGACCUUCUCAAUGAUUUGGCAAAAUAUGUUUGUAGGGACAUCUGUUUCAGGUUGGAAGAUGAUCAAGCAAAAAAUAUACCGAAGACAACCCGUCAUUUUUCAGUUGCAAGCGAUCACGUUAAAUGCUUUGAUGGGUUUCGAACUUUAUACAAUGCUGAAAGGUUACGCACAUUUAUGUCAUUAAGUGAGGAAAUGAGUUUUCGUAACUACAAUCGUUGGCAUUGCAAGAUGUCAACACGUGAAUUAUUCUCCAAGUUUAAGUUCUUACGUGUCUUAUCUCUGUCUGGUUAUUCUAACCUAACAGAGUUGCCUGACUCUGUAGGUAAUCUUAAAUAUCUCCAUUCCUUAGACCUCUCAAAUACUGACAUAGAAAAAUUACCUGAAUCAACAUGUUCACUCUACAACUUGCAAAUACUGAAGCUAAAUGGUUGUAGACAUUUGAAGGAGCUGCCCUCAAAUUUGCAUAAACUCACUGAUUUGCAUCGCCUUGAAUUAAUAGAUACUGGAGUGAGAAAGGUACCAGCACAUUUGGGAAAACUGAAGUAUCUUCAAGUAUUAAUGAGUUCGUUUAAUGUUGGCAAAAGUAGGGAGUUCAGUAUCCAGCAGCUAGGAGAACUCAAUCUUCAUGGAAGUCUAUCAAUUCAGAACCUGCAGAAUUUUGAGAAUCCCUCAGAUGCAUUGGCUGUGGAUUUAAAAAAUAAAACACACCUUGUCGAGCUAGAGUUAAAAUGGGAUUCAGACUGGAACCAAAAUCGAGAAAGGGAUGAAAUUGUAAUCGAGAAUCUACAGCCUUCCAAACACUUGGAGAAGUUGACGAUGAGGAACUAUGGGGGUAAACAAUUUCCUAGUUGGUUAUCGGAUAAUUCAUCAUGUAAUGUGGUGUCCUUAACCUUGGAGAACUGUCAAUCUUGCCAACGUUUGCCUCCCCUUGGACUUUUGCCAUUCCUGAAGGAGCUUUCAAUUAGAUGGCUUGAUGGGAUUGUGAGUAUUAAUGCUGAUUUUUUCGGGAGUAGCUCUUGUUCAUUUACAUCCUUGGAAUCUUUGGAGUUCUCCGAUAUGAAGGAAUGGGAAGAAUGGGAAUGUAAAGGUGUGACAGGUGCUUUUCCACGUCUUCAACGUCUUUUUAUAGUGCGUUGUCCCAAGCUGAAAGGUUUGCCUCCCCUUGGACUUUUGCCAUUUCUGAAGGAGCUUUUAAUUGAAAGGCUUGAUGGGAUUGUGAGUAUUAAUGCUGAUUUUUUCGGGAGUAGCUCUUGUUCAUUUACAUCCUUGGAAUCUUUGAAGUUCUUCGAUAUGAAGGAAUGGGAAGAAUGGGAAUGUAAAGGUGUGACAGGUGCUUUUCCACGUCUUCAACGUCUUUCUAUAUAUUAUUGUCCCAAGCUGAAAGGUUUGCCUCCCCUUGGACUUUUGCCAUUUUUGAAGGAGCUUUCAAUUGACAACCUUGAUGGGAUUGUGAGUAUUAAUGCUGAUUUUUUCGGGAGUAGCUCUUGUUCAUUUACAUCCUUGGAAUCUUUGAAGUUCUCCGAUAUGAAGGAAUGGGAAGAAUGGGAAUGUAAAGGUGUGACAGGUGCUUUUCCACGUCUUCAACGUCUUUCUAUAUAUCGUUGUCCCAAGCUGAAAGGGCACUUGCCAGAACAACUAUGUCAUUUAAAUGAUCUAACGAUUUCUGGGUGCGACUCUCUAACGACCAUUCCGCUAGAUAUCUUCCCAAUACUCAGGGAGCUUGAUAUCAGGAAGUGUCCUAAUCUACAGAGGAUUUCACAGGGGCAGACUCAUAAUCAUCUCCAGCGUCUGAGUAUCAAAGAGUGCCCCCAAUGAGAAUCAUUGCCUGAAGGAAUGCAUGUCCUCCUUCCAUCUCUUGAUUAUCUGGGCAUAAUUCGUUGUCCAAAAGUUGAAAUGUUUCCCGAAGGAGGUUUGCCAUCAAAUUUAAAAAAUAUGCAUCUCUAUGGUAGUUACAAACUUAUGUCCUCAUUGAAAAGUGCCUUGGGAGGCAAUCACUCUCUAGAAACCUUACGGAUUGGAGGAGUGGAUGUUGAGUGUCUUCCUGACGAAGGUGUACUGCCACACUCUCUUGUUUAUCUAAAGAUCUAUGACUGUGGAGAUCUAAAAAGACUGGACUACAAAGGUCUCUGCCACCUCUCCUCUCUCAAGAAAUUGGUUCUUGAAGAGUGCCCCAGGCUCCAAUGCUUACCAGAGGAGGGUCUGCCCAAAUCCAUUUCAUCUUUGGUAAUUUACCAUUGUCCGUUGCUCGAAGAACGUUGCUGGGAACCCGAAGGCGAAGACUGGCCAAAGAUUGCUCACUUUUGUCCGUUGCUCAAUCAACGUUGCCGGGAACCCGGAGGCGAAGACUGGCCAAAGAUUGCUGACAUUGAAAACGUGUUAUUUUUAUAAGGUAGUGAGGUUGAUCAUAAAGAAUAAUGGUGAAAGAUGUAGAUGCUUCUCUAUUGCCUGCAAUUUACUAAUUAAUUGUUUUCUAAACUUAUUUUUGCUUUCUGCUUGCUGGACGCCGCCGCUCUGUUAUUUAUUAUUCGACAAAAUAAUUGUUUAAUAUAGUUUCAAGUGAUUGAUUCUGCUUGGAUAAAAUAUUUCACUCUUGAAUUUUA